GAAAUUUCUGAUUCAUUUAAGCGGUGGAACAAGCGAACAACGGUGGAAGUUCUGCAACGGCAGAAGAAGAUAUCGGCGCUCGGCGGUGGAACAACUGAACAAGGUUACAAGAAUAAGAAUUAGAUUUAACUUUUAAGUUUUUAUGUUUUUAAUUAGGAAUUUAGGAUAUAGAUUUAAUUUUACAAUUUUAAAUAUAAAUUUAUCUAUUUAAUAUAUUGUAUAAGGUUAUUUAUAUAAAUUAUACAAUAUAAAUUUUUUUAUAAGAUCUAUAUGCAAUUUUCUCCGGGUACGGGGAUUAUCUGGGACGGGGAUUUCAAUCCCCGUACCUGGAAAUGACCAAGGAUUUCGACCGGGGACGGGGAAUUUUCUGCUUCGGGUAGAAAAAUCAUCCCCGUACCAAGGCGGGUACGGGGACGG
This 417-nucleotide long non-coding RNA is filed under the name Zostera marina. Its description in RNAcentral is "long non-coding RNA (ZMAR_LNC006120)". The record is from RNAcentral. Lineage: Eukaryota; Viridiplantae; Streptophyta; Magnoliopsida; Alismatales; Zosteraceae.